UACAGGGGGGGCGAACGUUGUUCGGAAUUACUGGGCGUAAAGCGUGUGUAGGCGGCUUUCUAAGUCGGGGGUGAAAUCCUGGAGCUCAACUCCAGAACUGCCUUCGAUACUGGAGAGCUUGAGUCCGGGAGAGGUGAGUGGAACUGCGAGUGUAGAGGUGAAAUUCGUAGAUAUUCGCAAGAACACCAGUGGCGAAGGCGGCUCACUGGCCCGGUACUGACGCUGAGGCACGAAAGCGUGGGGAGCAAACAGG
This 253-nucleotide ribosomal RNA is filed under the name uncultured bacterium. Its description in RNAcentral is "partial 16S ribosomal RNA". It matches the Rfam family "Bacterial small subunit ribosomal RNA", at positions 524 to 776 of the family's 1533-position model. The record is from RNAcentral.